UAGAUUGGCCACGGCGAUGCUUACGGCAUGGCGGCGGUACAUGAGCUCUCUUCCGGAAUGGGUGGGAUUCGGACGGCCGGAGACCUGGUCAGCCGUAUG
This 99-nucleotide non-coding RNA is filed under the name bovine gut metagenome. RNAcentral's name for it is "Pyrrolysine insertion sequence mtbB". It matches the Rfam family "Pyrrolysine insertion sequence mtbB". The record is from RNAcentral.